RNAcentral lists this ribosomal RNA (396 nucleotides) under uncultured bacterium. RNAcentral's name for it is "partial 16S ribosomal RNA". It matches the Rfam family "Bacterial small subunit ribosomal RNA", at positions 523 to 918 of the family's 1533-position model. The record is from RNAcentral.
AUACGUAGGGAGCGAGCGUUGUCCGGAAUUACUGGGUGUAAAGGGAGCGUAGGCGGGAGUGCAAGUCAGAUGUGAAAUACAUGGGCUCAACCCAUGGGCUGCAUUUGAAACUGCAUUUCUUGAGUGAAGUAGAGGUAAGCGGAAUUCCUGGUGUAGCGGUGAAAUGCGUAGAUAUCAGGAGGAACACCGGUGGCGAAGGCGGCUUACUGGGCUUUUACUGACGCUGAGGCUCGAAAGCGUGGGGAGCAAACAGGAUUAGAUACCCUGGUAGUCCACGCUGUAAACGAUGAUUACUAGAUGUGGGGGGACUGACCCCUUCCGUGCCGCAGUUAACACAAUAAGUAAUCCACCUGGGGAGUACGGCCGCAAGGUUGAAGCUCAAAGGAAUUGACGGGG